This is a long non-coding RNA of Octopus bimaculoides (California two-spot octopus), 3304 nucleotides long. RefSeq lists it as uncharacterized. The record is from RefSeq and is a predicted model, not a curated record. NCBI's taxonomy places the organism in Eukaryota, Metazoa, Mollusca, Cephalopoda, Octopoda, Octopodidae.
GUGUUACAUUUGUUAUAAAUACGGAUCGUUUUCGCAUUCGUUAUUUUUUCCGUGUUUCUUCAUUGCUCUCUCUAUUUAGUAUACGUCACUGCCUGGAAUCGAACUCGGAAUCGAGGGGUUAAGAGUUACUGAACAAGGCCUAUCGCAUUCAAAACAAAGCAAGUAUAAAACGCAAUGAAGGGAGGAAGUAAAAAUUUUCUUUGUCAACUUACACAAAUGUGUUUCAUUUACUCUCAGGUGACCAUUAAUCCACUCGCAUAUUCUCCUGGCACACGUAUCGAACAUCUUUUCCACCCAUUCUUCUCCGUUAUUGCGGCAUCUUCUCUCGACGAUACAUCCCAUGCACUCUAAAGAAGAAUACAUACAUUAUAAUAAUAUCCAUUAAACAAUAUUAGAUAUUUUACAAGGCAGAUUUAUUAUAAAUUAGGAUUUUGACACAAGGCCAACAAGUUCUCCGGCGGAAAGGAGUCGAGAGCAAGUUGAAGGAAAGUGUUUGCCCAGAACCAUGAAAAAUUUCGUGGAGAUAUUAGUUUUACCAUUGAGUCCGAGAGGAGGAUUAAACCAGGCUGAAAUUCUCUUAUGUAAUCGUCUAAAUCCUUUAUAAUUGCUAGUGCCGAUCCCAGCAGGUUUAAAAUACUCUGCAUUGGCUUUGUGUAUAUUUUUUGGAAUAUUGAUAAUACCAAAUUGUACAAAGCUUUUUGAGAAUUUUACCAAACAAUUCGAUGAUCAUUGCUGACUUAAGGUAUGAGAUAGUCGUGUGCACUUGACUUGAAGUUUUUUUUUUUGAUUCGUGUCAAAGUGAUACUUUUCAUAAAUUACAUAUGACGUUAGUUAAAAGAAAACUCACUGUACACAAAAUACAAAUCAAAUACCAAGCCAUUCUCGAUAUUCAAAAAAGUGAAUAAAAAAAAAUAGAAGUUGCCAAACAGCUUGAAAUACUUCUUAGCACACUGUCUACAUGGAUAAAAUCAUCUUCUAAAAUCAAAGACGCCUACCAAAAUAGUGGUUUGUAACACAAGAGAAUUCAUUUCUGCAAAUAUUCAGACGUUGAAGGAGCACCACUUUUGUGGUUUCAGACUGCCCGAAUUCAGAAUAUCCCAGUAUUUUGGCCUAUUUUGCAAGCAUAAUCGCUCAAACUGGCGAAGAAUCUUCAACACACAAAUUUCAACUGUAGUGAAAGAUGCCUAAGUCGCUUCAAAUAACGCUAUAACAUAACUUUUAAAACUAUUAAUGAGGAAGCUAACAGCGUCGAAGUCAAACGAGUGGAUACAUAAUACACCAUUACACUACCAAGUAUUCGCCUGAUGACAUCUACAACACCGACCAAUCUGGACUUCACAAAUUGCUAACAUCCAAAUCACUACACGUAAAGGAGGACAAUGUAACGGUGGAAAACUCUCAAAAAGACUGAAUCACUGUCAUACUAUGCAUUAACAUGUUUGCCAUCCACAAACUUGCAUUGUUAGUGAUUGGAAAAUCAUUCAAUCCCAGGAGCUUCAAAGGCGUCAAAACGCUAAUCACAGAAAACAUUGGAAACAAAAAAGUUUGGAUGACUACAACUACAACAAUUUUCCCCGACUGGCUGCAGAAGUUGACCAAACCAUCAGACUUCAAAAACGAAAAAUUCCCCUAGUAUUGGACGUCCUGUCACACUCACACAUAAAUCCGCUCAUAAUUUAAUAGAAUUGGAAUGGGAUACUUAAACUAUAGUGCCUAUAAUAACAUAAAAAUUAAAAUCCUUUUGAACGAGGUUUAUUGAAGAAAAGAUUUUAAGCAAAACAUGAAGCAUGAUAUAAUGAUUUUUCUUGCGGUUAUUGUUAAGAAUUACCAUAUUUUAGUUUCCUGAAAUUUUCUCAAGGCAAGUAGUAGUAAGGCACCUGCUAUACAUGCAACACAUUCAAUAAACUGACAUCAUGCUGCAAGGACAUGCGAACACAUUUACAUCACAGUAAAACUUGCACAAAUAUUUACAAUAAUACCUUUCAAAGUCAACAAGUUACAAAAGUAUUAAACUCCAAACUCUAGGUGACAACAUACCUUAUGCCUUACACAAACCCCGCUCUGAUAAGUAACUACAAAAUCUACAGCCUUCUCGCAGCACAAUACAAAAAUACACAUUAUUUGUAAUGAAGUAAAGAAACAUGCAGUACGUCUACAAAUUUGCGAUACACUAAAGCAACGAAAUAUGUGCAACAUUUUAUAAACCACAAAAUUUUUUAAAUCAUUGAAAUAUGAGACAACGAGGUGUGUCUGUAUGUCAUUACUUGACUUGUUAAAAGUAAUAGCCAAAUUUCCCUCAAACCAUAUUUCUUGUCUCUUUUUAUGUUAGGGAAAAAUAGACAUGGAAUGUAAUCUUAUAUACGGGGUUUCCCAAAAUGAACGCAACCGAAUUUUUUAAAUUUCGCAAGAGCAAAAUAUUAUUAUAUUUCAGGUUUGAGCGUUGCAAUGCAUUAGUAAAGGAAACACAAUUGUAAAACUACCACAUUUAUUUGAUAUGACCACCUUUGUUUCGAAUGACAUCCUUAAGUCUAGGUGCGAAUGCUUCACACGCAACACGCAUCUCACUAAAAUGACACUCCAUCUUUUACCACCCAACACUACCUCAAGGUUUCAGCCUAUGGAUCAAGGGAUAGUAAAGAACAUCAAACCUCACUACCGACAUCUACUCGUAGGCAAGCUUAUAUCAUCAUUAGACAACAACUCAAAAUUUACUACAGAUACUGUGUUGGAUUCUUUGCAUUGGUUGUAAAGUGCCUGGUCGUAUGUCACUUGAACCACAAUAGCAAACUGCUUCAGACACGUUGGAUUUUCCAACAACACUCUGGACACUACUGAUGACAUAAAUAACGAAAUACCACUCACAGAAUUAUUUCGAUGAGCAAGAAAAGUAGGUGUUGACUUAUCUGACUCUUUCGAUGAAUACGUCUCUGUCGACGAUAACAUCAUCGCACCAAAAUCGAUUACUGACGGAGCCAUAAUAGACGCUAUCAUUCAAAAAUACAAUCCAACAGCUACAGAAACUGAGAAAACAUCUGACUCGGAAGAUUUAAUUCAACCAACAUCUACACCAUAUUCUGCAGUAACCUUAUGCUCUAACCUGAGACAAUUUAUUCAAAUCCACGUGAACUCUGCUGACUUGUUUGCGAUUCUUACUCAGUUGAAAAAUUUCAUAGAAAAAGUGAAAAGGAAAAGCAACAAGCAAAGUGUCAAAGAAGAUUAAUUUGUAUGUAGCAAUUCUAAAAGAUAAUAGUUUUUAUUUUGGAAAUACUUUUUGAUAAUAAAUGCAUACUUUUGAACACGUUAA